RNAcentral lists this ribosomal RNA (497 nucleotides) under uncultured bacterium. RNAcentral's name for it is "partial 16S ribosomal RNA". It matches the Rfam family "Bacterial small subunit ribosomal RNA", at positions 28 to 507 of the family's 1533-position model. The record is from RNAcentral.
GAUGAACGCUGGCGGCGUGCCUAAUACAUGCAAGUCGAGCGAACAGACGAGGAGCUUGCUCCUCUGACGUUAGCGGCGGACGGGUGAGUAACACGUGGAUAACCUACCUAUAAGACUGGGAUAACUUCGGGAAACCGGAGCUAAUACCGGAUAAUAUAUUGAACCGCAUGGUUCAAUAGUGAAAGACGGUUUUGCUGUCACUUAUAGAUGGAUCCGCGCCGCAUUAGCUAGUUGGUAAGGUAACGGCUUACCAAGGCAACGAUGGGUAGCCGACCUGAGAGGGUGAUCGGCCACCCUGGAACUGAGGAACGUCCCACACUCCGGCGGUAGGAAGCAGUAGGGAAUCUUCCGCGAUGGGCGAGAGCCGAACGGAGCAACGCCGCGGGAGGGAUGAAGGUCUUCGGAUCGUAAAGCUCUGUUAUUAGGGAAGAACAAAUGUGUAAGUAACUAUGCUCAUCUUGACAGUACCUAAUCAGAAAGCCACGGCUAACUACGUG